This 240-nucleotide unclassified non-coding RNA is filed under the name soil metagenome. RNAcentral's name for it is "partial contains 5.8S ribosomal RNA, internal transcribed spacer 2, and large subunit ribosomal RNA". The record is from RNAcentral.
AACCUAGCACACCUGCGGUGUGUACCUGCGGAGGGAUCAUUACAGAGUUGCAAAACUCCCUAAACCAUUGUGAACGUUACCUAAACCGUUGCUUCGGCGGGCGGCCCGGGUCCUUCCCGGCGCCCAUCGGCCCUCGCGGGCGCCCGCCGGAGGUAAACCAAACUAUUGCAUUGUAUGGCCUCUCUGAGUCUUCUGUACUGAAUAAGUCAAAACUUUCAACAACGGAUCUCAGAUCGGAAG